RNAcentral lists this ribosomal RNA (513 nucleotides) under Vibrio harveyi. RNAcentral's name for it is "bacterial SSU rRNA". It matches the Rfam family "Bacterial small subunit ribosomal RNA", at positions 30 to 522 of the family's 1533-position model. The record is from RNAcentral. Lineage: Bacteria; Pseudomonadati; Pseudomonadota; Gammaproteobacteria; Vibrionales; Vibrionaceae.
UGAACGCUGGCGGCAGGCCUAACACAUGCAAGUCGAGCGGAAACGAGUUAUCUGAACCUUCGGGGAACGAUAACGGCGUCGAGCGGCGGACGGGUGAGUARUGCCUAGGAAAUUGCCCUGAUGUGGGGGAUAACCAUUGGAAACGAUGGCUAAUACCGCAUAAUACCUACGGGUCAAAGAGGGGGACCUUCGGGCCUCUCGCGUCAGGAUAUGCCUAGGUGGGAUUAGCUAGUUGGUGAGGUAAUGGCUCACCAAGGCGACGAUCCCUAGCUGGUCUGAGAGGAUGAUCAGCCACACUGGAACUGAGACACGGUCCAGACUCCUACGGGAGGCAGCAGUGGGGAAUAUUGCACAAUGGGCGCAAGCCUGAUGCAGCCAUGCCGCGUGUGUGAAGAAGGCCUUCGGGUUGUAAAGCACUUUCAGUCGUGAGGAAGGUAGUGUAGUUAAUAGCUGCAUUCAUUUGACGUUAGCGACAGAAGAAGCACCGGCUAACCCGUGCCAGCAGCCGCGGUA